Molecule: small RNA, 129 nt
Filed under: pig gut metagenome
Description: Ribosomal protein L10 leader
Rfam family: Ribosomal protein L10 leader
About the family: This family is a putative r-protein leader autoregulatory structure found in B. subtilis and other low-GC Gram-positive bacteria. It is located in the 5' untranslated regions of mRNAs encoding ribosomal proteins L10 and L12 (rplJ-rplL). A Rho-independent transcription terminator structure that is probably involved in regulation is included at the 3' end.
Source: RNAcentral
AGUAAUGCGAUUUUCCGAAGACAGUAGGUGCGUUUAUGCUUAAUUUCCUACUUAGGAAAAUGCUGAUUCGGAAAUGUUUUCAGCUUUUUCUUGUUCUUUUGGAACUUCGAAAAGCUGAUUUUUUGUUUG